RNAcentral lists this unclassified non-coding RNA (575 nucleotides) under Calamagrostis flavens. Its description in RNAcentral is "Deyeuxia flavens sequence contains ITS1, 5.8S rRNA gene, ITS2". Lineage: Eukaryota; Viridiplantae; Streptophyta; Magnoliopsida; Poales; Poaceae. The record is from RNAcentral.
AGACCGCGCACGCGUCAUCCAGCCUGCCGGCGGCGGCACCGUUCGUCGCUCGGCCAAGUCCUCGAUAACCUCCUCUCCUCGGAGUGGGGGCUCGGGGUAAAAGAACCCACGACGCCUAAGGCGUCAAGGAACACUGUGCCUAGCCCGGGGACGCGGACGGCUUGCUGGCCGCCCCCCGUGCUGCAAUGCUAUUUAAUCCACACGACUCUCGGCAACGGAUAUCUCGGCUCUCGCAUCGAUGAARAACGUAGCGAAAUGCGAUACCUGGUGUGAAUUGCARAAUCCCGCGAACCAUCGAGUCUUUGAACGCAAGUUGCGCCCGAGGCCAUUCGGCCGAGGGCACGCCUGCCUGGGCGUCACGCAAAACACGCUCCCACCCCCUCAUCGGGUAGCGGGACGCGGCAUGUGGCCCCCCGUCGCGCAAGGGGCGGUGGGCCGAARAUAUGGCUGCCGGCGUAUCGUGCCGGACACAGCGCGUGGUGGGCGACCUCGCUUUACUUCCGCAGUGCAUCCGGCGCGUAGCCGACGUGAUGGCCUCGAAGGACCCUAUGAACGGUGCGCACGACGCUCCGACC